Molecule: ribosomal RNA, 549 nt
Filed under: soil bacterium LMF-P1-14
Lineage: Bacteria
Description: bacterial SSU rRNA
Rfam family: Bacterial small subunit ribosomal RNA
Source: RNAcentral
UAGGGAAUCUUCCGCAAUGGGCGAAAGCCUGACGGAGCAACGCCGCGUGAGUGAUGAAGGUUUUCGGAUCGUAAAGCUCUGUUGCCAGGGAAGAACGUCCGGUAGAGUAACUGCUACCGGAGUGACGGUACCUGAGAAGAAAGCCCCGGCUAACUACGUGCCAGCAGCCGCGGUAAUACGUAGGGGGCAAGCGUUGUCCGGAAUUAUUGGGCGUAAAGCGCGCGCAGGCGGCUAUUUAAGUCUGGUGUUUAAACCUUGGGCUCAACCUGAGGUCGCACUGGAAACUGGGUGGCUUGAGUACAGAAGAGGAAAGUGGAAUUCCACGUGUAGCGGUGAAAUGCGUAGAUAUGUGGAGGAACACCAGUGGCGAAGGCGACUUUCUGGGCUGUAACUGACGCUGAGGCGCGAAAGCGUGGGGAGCAAACAGGAUUAGAUACCCUGGUAGUCCACGCCGUAAACGAUGAGUGCUAGGUGUUAGGGGUUUCGAUACCCUUGGUGCCGAAGUUAACACAGUAAGCACUCCGCCUGGGGAGUACGGUCGCAAGACUG